This is a non-coding RNA of Brevibacillus sp. CF112, 122 nucleotides long. The record is from Rfam. NCBI's taxonomy places the organism in Bacteria, Bacillati, Bacillota, Bacilli, Caryophanales, Paenibacillaceae.
UCCUUAUCGAGAGCGGCGGAGGGACUGGCCCGAUGAAGCCCGGCAACCACUGGACAUGCGUGACAUGGACAGAAAGGUGCCAAUUCCUGCAAAACCUGUACCGGGGUUUUGACAGAUGAGGA